GACGUAGGGCGCGAGCGUUGUCCGGAUUUAUUGGGCGUAAAGAGCUCGUAGGCGGCUUGUCGCGUCGACCGUGAAAACUUGGGGCUCAACCCCCAAGCCUGCGGUCGAUACGGGCAGGCUCGAGUUCGGUAGGGGAGACUGGAAUUCCUGGUGUAGCGGUGAAAUGCGCAGAUAUCAGGAGGAACACCGAUGGCGAAGGCAGGUCUCUGGGCCGAUACUGACGCUGAGGAGCGAAAGCGUGGGGAGCGAACAGG
RNAcentral lists this ribosomal RNA (254 nucleotides) under uncultured bacterium. Its description in RNAcentral is "partial 16S ribosomal RNA". It matches the Rfam family "Bacterial small subunit ribosomal RNA", at positions 524 to 776 of the family's 1533-position model. The record is from RNAcentral.